This 351-nucleotide unclassified non-coding RNA is filed under the name Hevea brasiliensis (rubber tree). Lineage: Eukaryota; Viridiplantae; Streptophyta; Magnoliopsida; Malpighiales; Euphorbiaceae. The record is from RNAcentral.
GAAAGAAAAUAGAAGUUCCUUGUUAAAAAUAAACUCUUUAACUGUUGCUCCUUUUUAACAAGGAACUUCUAUUUUCUUUCACUGCCAUUUUCAAGUAUUUUGAACAUACACAUCCACUUAUGCACAACCUAGUUGCUGAAAGUGCAUGGCCAAUUGCCGCAUUGUCAAUGCAGUAAAUUUUUGUUCCAUUUCACAUCAAUGAGAAAACUUUGAGAUCAACUUGUCAACAUGAAUUAUAAUAUCAUCGAUGCAAGGGCGAACUGCUGCCUGUGGCUGAAGCAUCCAGGUCACAAACUUAUGUAGAGAUUCUGGAUAUGGAGGAUUAGGCCCAGCUGGCCACUUUAUUUGUGC